GUGCCAGCAGCCGCGGUAAUACCGGCAGCUCGAGUGAUGGCUACUCUUAUUGGGCCUAAAGCGUCCGUAGCUGGCCGCGCAAGUCUCCCGGGAAAUCCACCCGCCCAACGAGUGGGCGUCCGACGGAAACUGCACAGCUUGGGACCGGAAGGCUCGAAGGGUACGUUCGGGGUAGGAGUGAAAUCCCAUAAUCCCGCACGGACCACCGAUGGCGAAAGCACUUCGAGAAAACGGAUCCGACAGUGAGGGACGAAAGCUGGGAUCUCGAACCGGAUUAGAUACCCCUGUAGUCC
RNAcentral lists this ribosomal RNA (293 nucleotides) under uncultured bacterium. RNAcentral describes it as "partial 16S ribosomal RNA". It matches the Rfam family "Archaeal small subunit ribosomal RNA", at positions 455 to 747 of the family's 1478-position model. The record is from RNAcentral.